CUGAUGUCAUCAGGUCUGGGCUACCUUCUAGAUGUGGCAGAAUAUCAACCCUGCAACUGUCUGAGGGAUUCCACAGCCCUGAGCACUUCCAGACUUGCAGCUGGUGAGAUAACCCAGCAUGCUUGGAAGGAUGGCAGGAUGCGGAAGGCUGGAGUGACUACGUGGUGAGAGAGAUAAUGACUGAAUUCUUCGGGGCUUUCUUUAAGUUUCCUUCCAGACGGCACCGACAGCUUCCAGAAUACCCAGGUGCUGGCUCUCGCUCAAGCAGUCAUGCACUGGGACACGGCGGACAGAGCGUGUGACAUUCAGACCAGGGCCCCCACAUGGUUCCACAAAGCCCUGAGCAGGCAGUUGUUAGGACACCAGGGAUUGGUGCCAAUUAUCAGCAGUGUGGGGAGGGAGAUGCAGGGCUGGGUGGACCUUGGGUAAUUUUCUUGACUUUUCAUGGCCUCAGUUUAUGGAUCUAUAUAAUGGGGGCAUUAUUUCUUGCUAUUAUACUGUGGGGUUGUCACAAUAAUUAAAUAAACAUUACUU
Long non-coding RNA from Talpa occidentalis (Iberian mole), 534 nucleotides. RefSeq lists it as uncharacterized. The transcript has 3 exons. The record is from RefSeq and is a predicted model, not a curated record. Lineage: Eukaryota; Metazoa; Chordata; Mammalia; Eulipotyphla; Talpidae.